UGUCAGCACAUUACAAAAAGUCUUGCAAUAUCAACCAUGCUUCUUCCUGAUGAAUGAUCAGAGUGAAAUCUUACCCUGAGAUGGAGCAGGAGGCUCAAACCAGGUAAAAUUAAGGAGCUUGUAGUCACCCACUAAUGUAGAGUCGAAAUGAACCUUAUGUGUGGUAAGAGAAAAAUUUAUUGCAGAAGCAUCACUGGCAGAAAAACUGAUUCCCGUAUGUGGAGUAAUGUCCAUUGAUAUGUUUAAUUGUGACAAGCUAAGUACAUAAAAGUUGAUCAGCUCAAUUUGAGAAACUCGCAAACCAAGCUGCGAUGCUAAUUCUUCUAGAAAAAGAUUCCAAUUUGGGUUUUGUGAUACAUUUAAAAGUACAAGGUCGAGCUUUAUAGGAUACACACAGUGGCAACCAUGACUUGCUCGUUUCAACACUGUGUCAGGUUUGCAACAAUCUGGCAAAAUAAGAUAAGAACACCAGUGUGAACAAAUAAUUUGCC
This 491-nucleotide long non-coding RNA is filed under the name Citrus sinensis (sweet orange). Its description in RNAcentral is "long non-coding RNA (CSIN_LNC005819)". Lineage: Eukaryota; Viridiplantae; Streptophyta; Magnoliopsida; Sapindales; Rutaceae. The record is from RNAcentral.